GAGCGAACACUUCAGUUUUCAGCUCAUGUUCGUAGAAACUUGCCAUGGUUGCACCUCCUUACGGAGGGCUGCAGUCUCCACACCUUGCAGUGGCAAGCCGUUUCUGCUGGCCAGAAAAAGGAGUGAGGAAAGAGCUGUAGAAAUUUACUGAUUUUGUAAAUAUGAAUUCUUAUACCAAUGGAGAGCAGGUAUAGUGCCACUUCAUGACUGCAGGUGCCUGCACCUGUCAAGUAAAGAAAUGAAAAGAGUUGGCUAGUCAGAGACAAAGCAGCUCUCCAGACCAGUUUCUGUCCUUGUCUAGCAUGGGGAAUGCAGCUACGACAACAUCUAAGAUUAAGAAAGCAACAAGUGAUUCACGCAGCCUGGAGCCAGAUCUGCCCAAAACCUGGUUCGCUACACAGAAAAAUUAGUCCUGCUCCAGCCUUGUCAAACCUUGCCACAUGUCUACCCAAGCUCUCUUCAGGAAGCUGUCCAAAGCCUGACUCCCCAGAUGUGGUGGCAUGGCCAUUAACUGUUCCUGACCGAUGUCGAUAUACAUGAAAUGACAGCAUGACAAAGCUCUGACACGUUGUUAAAGGACAGCAUACAGGAUAGACGACAGAAACAAUACUGGAUGGAUAAGUUUUAGACUGUAAAAUAACAAAAACGUUGAUAUACUUAGUAAAGAUAAAGCCUUACAGUUUACAGUUCUGUCCCAGGCGCAGUAACAGCAAUUGCACCCUCUCCCUGGGCAGAGUGAGGCUGAAGGCCAUGGUAGCCAUCCAAAAGCUUAGGAGUGAGAAAGACCUUCCAAAACUACCUUCUCCAUCAGCCAUUGCUUGUGCAUUGCAGUGGACAGAAUUUGGCUCUCAGUACGGAAAUAUUCACUCCAGUGUAGACAAAAUUAAAUUGUGCUAUCCCAAGAAAGGAAGUCCAGGGCUGGCUGCUCCUGCCUUGGGAAAGGGAGAGCAGGACUGGGAAUCCUAAGAGGCGCAGCUUGCUUUUCACUCUAGGGAGGAGCAAGAACAGCAACAGGUUCUCCUCCGCAGUGUCCCCUCCUCAGCGAUUGCCCUCACGCCUCAGCCCUGGUCCCUCCUCCCUGGCAGCAGCAGAGGGUCCAGACACACACCACAGCCUCCUGGUCCCCUCCUAGAUCUAGCUCUUUGUUUCCACAUUGCCUUUGUGUAAACAACAUCCCCCUUCCACUUAAAAAUGCCAUAAAUCAAAACGAAGCAACAGACUGCUUCAAACCAAAGUGGCAAAGGGAGACUUCUGCAAAAAUUAAUUUUUUUAAUAGACCCUAGUCAGUUCUUUCAAAACUGCCACAGAGCAAAAGAGCAACUUCCUUCCUGCCCGCUUGUUUUGGUGCAGCUUUAUCAAUAUUGCCUCUUGUAUGCCCUGGAUUGCUCUUUAGUCAGGAGGAAAGAGCGCCUGGAGUGGUGGGCAGGCCAAAGCACCAGCAGUCUCUUUGGCUCUAGUCGUGUCUAGCUCCCUGAAGACUUCUGUGCGAGUGUCAUCACCUAUGAAAUGCUAUUUUUGCAAGCCUACUGAACUGGGAUUAGACAGUAUCGAUUUAUAUGUGUUAACCCCUUCACCUGAGAGCUGGAUAUUAUCUUGGAAUAGACAUAGUCUGAGAAGGAAUUUCUUUAACUUCACUUAGAACUGAGACACGGUUUCCUUUCUCUGUUGAUAAAUAACAGAAACAUCUAUAACAUUUCCUUAGUUUGGUAUAUCAACACUGUUUUGAGAAGAGAAAGAGAAGACCCACAGCAGAUUUAAAACAAAAUGACCUGGAAUAACAGCAGAUUAAUGGAACUACACAAAUGUGUGUGGGGGGGGGGAGGUCAGGCACUGUCUUUGUGACUGCUGCAUGGUUAUGUCAUGUCCCACUGUACUUGCCAGAUCAUGUUUCUUCAAUUAAAACACUUCACUCUUA
Long non-coding RNA from Dromaius novaehollandiae (emu), 1915 nucleotides. RefSeq lists it as uncharacterized. The transcript has 2 exons. The record is from RefSeq and is a predicted model, not a curated record. Lineage: Eukaryota; Metazoa; Chordata; Aves; Casuariiformes; Dromaiidae.